Molecule: ribosomal RNA, 1382 nt
Filed under: Lactiplantibacillus plantarum
Lineage: Bacteria; Bacillati; Bacillota; Bacilli; Lactobacillales; Lactobacillaceae
Description: bacterial SSU rRNA
Rfam family: Bacterial small subunit ribosomal RNA
Source: RNAcentral
UUGAUUGGUGCUUGCAUCAUGAUUUACAUUUGAGUGAGUGGCGAACUGGUGAGUAACACGUGGGAAACCUGCCCAGAAGCGGGGGAUAACACCUGGAAACAGAUGCUAAUACCGCAUAACAACUUGGACCGCAUGGUCCGAGUUUGAAAGAUGGCUUCGGCUAUCACUUUUGGAUGGUCCCGCGGCGUAUUAGCUAGAUGGUGAGGUAACGGCUCACCAUGGCAAUGAUACGUAGCCGACCUGAGAGGGUAAUCGGCCACAUUGGGACUGAGACACGGCCCAAACUCCUACGGGAGGCAGCAGUAGGGAAUCUUCCACAAUGGACGAAAGUCUGAUGGAGCAACGCCGCGUGAGUGAAGAAGGGUUUCGGCUCGUAAAACUCUGUUGUUAAAGAAGAACAUAUCUGAGAGUAACUGUUCAGGUAUUGACGGUAUUUAACCAGAAAGCCACGGCUAACUACGUGCCAGCAGCCGCGGUAAUACGUAGGUGGCAAGCGUUGUCCGGAUUUAUUGGGCGUAAAGCGAGCGCAGGCGGUUUUUUAAGUCUGAUGUGAAAGCCUUCGGCUCAACCGAAGAAGUGCAUCGGAAACUGGGAAACUUGAGUGCAGAAGAGGACAGUGGAACUCCAUGUGUAGCGGUGAAAUGCGUAGAUAUAUGGAAGAACACCAGUGGCGAAGGCGGCUGUCUGGUCUGUAACUGACGCUGAGGCUCGAAAGUAUGGGUAGCAAACAGGAUUAGAUACCCUGGUAGUCCAUACCGUAAACGAUGAAUGCUAAGUGUUGGAGGGUUUCCGCCCUUCAGUGCUGCAGCUAACGCAUUAAGCAUUCCGCCUGGGGAGUACGGCCGCAAGGCUGAAACUCAAAGGAAUUGACGGGGGCCCGCACAAGCGGUGGAGCAUGUGGUUUAAUUCGAAGCUACGCGAAGAACCUUACCAGGUCUUGACAUACUAUGCAAAUCUAAGAGAUUAGAGUUCCCUUCGGGGACAUGGAUACAGGUGGUGCAUGGUUGUCGUCAGCUCGUGUCGUGAGAUGUUGGGUUAAGUCCCGCAACGAGCGCAACCCUUAUUAUCAGUUGCCAGCAUUAAGUUGGGCACUCUGGUGAGACUGCCGGUGACAAACCGGAGGAAGGUGGGGAUGACGUCAAAUCAUCAUGCCCCUUAUGACCUGGGCUACACACGUGCUACAAUGGAUGGUACAACGAGUUGCGAACUCGCGAGAGUAAGCUAAUCUCUUAAAGCCAUUCUCAGUUCGGAUUGUAGGCUGCAACUCGCCUACAUGAAGUCGGAAUCGCUAGUAAUCGCGGAUCAGCAUGCCGCGGUGAAUACGUUCCCGGGCCUUGUACACACCGCCCGUCACACCAUGAGAGUUUGUAACACCCAAAGUC